Molecule: long non-coding RNA, 1830 nt
Organism: Monodelphis domestica (gray short-tailed opossum)
Lineage: Eukaryota; Metazoa; Chordata; Mammalia; Didelphimorphia; Didelphidae
Source: Ensembl
AAAAAACCUUGAUAACCUGAAGAAAAAUUAUUUUAGUAUUAGAUUUCUCAGCCAAUGGAAGGAAACCUUAGCCAAAGGCUGGAAACAGAGGCAUCUAGGGCUACAUAGGACAAGCAGGGUAGGAUAUUAAGGAAAAAUUUCUUCUCCUGUGGUAGAACCUGGAGCUGCCCUUUUAGAUAUUAGGACUGAAGCCUUGGGCUCUGACCAGCAGCUUAAAGAGGUGAUGAGUGGAGAGCUGCCCUAGUUCCCUGUUUCUGAUUUCAAAACACCAUUUAACUGGUGCUCAUUUCAGCCAGAGGAUAUUUGCUAAUAUGAAAAAUCUCUCUCAUGUUGUAUUUUUCUGUUUUAUGAUCCUGCUUAGUUUAAGAAAGGUUAUGUGUUGUUUCAUUAAUUUUGCAUAAGAACAAAUACUGUUUUGUUGUAGAAACAAGAUUAAGACAUGGAAUAAUAGUAGAACAGGGAGAAUUAUAAUAGAUAUGGAAUGUAAGAAAACUUUAAAGCAGUAUACCAACAAGAACAAAUGUAUGGAAUAGCAAAAGAGUCUCCAUAUACUUAGAUUACAUGGAGUAAAGGCAGGAUCUUCUUGGGGAAGGGUUAACUAGAGAGGCAGAAUUUCUGUCAGCAUUGUGACUUCAUAGUUAGUAAUUAUCAAUAAGACCUGACAGUGACCAUGGCUGGUCUCAUCUUAGACAUUUGCUGAUAACACCCCAAUAGGGCUCAGGGUAUCCACCAUCUCCUAAUCUGUGAAUUUUAACUAUUGGACCACUUAGAGAACCUGUGCCUCCUUAGCAGACUAUCAGAAAAAGGCUUCAUGCAUUCAGAAAUGAACUUAUGACUUCUUUGACUCUUCUUAAUUGUGAACUAUUUGUUCUUUCUACCACUAUUGAGCUUCUGUAUCUACAUGUUUCAGGAUUGAUGGCAUUCCAUUUCCCUCCUAAUCUUUUGAAGCUCAGAAUUAAGUCUUUUAUUUGAAGAGCAGAAUACCAUUUUGCAUUGGUAUACAUCAAAAUUGAUGGAUCAGGAAAGCAGCACCAACGAGAAUGUGGGUAAGUCUAUGUCCUACACUAAUUUGUACUUAUUUGUAAAUGUUUUUAAAUCCUUUUUAGGUGUGGAAAACAUAAUUUUCUCCCAACUAGAUUGAAAACUCCAUGGGGGUGAAGGGAUUCUGCCCUGUUCUGUAUUUCUGUUGUAUUAUAGGAAUACUUUGCCUUUGGAUAGCUCCUUUUAUUUGUUCAGAGAAUUCUCUAGUCUAUUGGUUGACAUCUCUUUUUGCCUAGAACAUCACUCUCUCUAUCCAGUAUUUAGUCAGUAAGAGUGAUUGGCUGAUUGACUAUGAAAUAUCCUAUGAUGUACUAAGAAUGAGGAAAUCUUUCCUUGCCUUUUUAAAGAGUCAGAGUAGUUGAGUUUCUGGUCCAUAGUUUUAUUGGUAUCUAGGAAUGUAAAUGAUCAAAUACUUGCUUACUUCAGACAAACUCAUUUGAAAAGAAUUGCCUGCUGACUGCUGAUUUUUACCUCUUGUAAGUGUUUACCAAUGUUUAUUAUAAUUCCCUUUCUUUAUCUGCCUCCUUCAAUCCCAAAUCCAGGUCCAAAGAGGGAAAAUAGGUUAUCUAUAUAUUAUCCUGAUAAAGGAGUAGCCUAUAUAAGCAAUUAGAGAUAUAAUAGUUAAGGAAUAUAGGGAUGAAGUUACUUUUUCAAACUUUCAGAGGGAAUCAAUAGAAUUGGAUUGGGAUCUUAUAACCUCUGGCCUGCUUUCUAUAAGAAAGUGCUGAUAAAUGUAGCUUUAGCUAAUUAAGAAAUAAAACCCCCACCCCAUGUAAAAAUCUAAAUCUG